This is a long non-coding RNA of Gallus gallus (chicken), 1197 nucleotides long. NCBI's taxonomy places the organism in Eukaryota, Metazoa, Chordata, Aves, Galliformes, Phasianidae. The record is from Ensembl.
GGUUUUGGUUAGGUGUUAGGAAGAAAUUCUUCACUGAGAGGAUGGUGAGGUACUGGAAAAGGAUGCCCAGAGAAGAUAUGGAUGCCCCAUCCCUGGAGGCAUUCAAGGCCAGGCUUGAUGUGUUCCUGGGCAGUCUAAUCUAGUGAUUAAUAACUCUGCCUGUGGCAUGGGGGAUUGGGACUAGAUGAUCUUUGAGGUCUCUUCCAACCCAAGCCAUUCUAUGAUUCUAUGGUCUUUAGGUCUGCACCAACAGUAGUGCCAACCACAUCACACUGAGAUAGGAAACAAAACAGAAAAAAAAGGGAAUUCCUCUACUCUUUACCCUACAAAAUGCAAUACAGGGCUAUUUGGGACCCCCAGAGUUUUUAAAAUCCAUCUCACACUGCACUUGAACACAUCCCCCUUAAAGAAUGACUGACAUUAUUGAUUUCUUUCUGCCCUUUUCCUCUGAGAUGAUAGAACAGACAAGAAAAUCUUUAUCAGCAUAUAACACAUUUCUUAAAAACAAUUUCAAUCUCACAGUUGAAAUAAAUAAUUAAAAUAUUGCUUUUUUUUCCUUAAGGUCUCUGCACACCUAUUCAUGAAACGUGUGUAGCCCACAGGCUUGUACAUCUAAUCAUUAACAAACCUUCUUUCAUUCUCCAUUUGUGGAGAUGCUAACUACUUCAACACCUAUGUUCAUAGGGACAAUUCAGCUGGCUGGCCAGUAGCUUAUUAUCCAUCCCUAUUCAAGGAACACUUUUCCAAGAAACACUUCAGCUUCCAGCACAGUAACUACAGAGGAAAUGCUGCUGGCUGCGGUGCAGCAUGACAAGUAGUAAUCUCUCCUCAUGCAAACUUAAAGUAUAGUGAGACUGACAUGGCACCUCAGCACGUGUACUACCCAACUCUGGGAUUUCAAACUACAUGCCAUUCCCUUCCAGUUGGAGACAAGUUUAUGAGCUUGAGCAGGCAAUGAAAGCUUCUUUCCAUACUAAUGAAAUGUCCAAGUCCUAAUGGAUUAGUAGUUUUCAUAUCAGAUUAAAUCUGCUUUUUUUUUUUUGUUUUGUUUUGUUUUUUGCUGAUAAAGGCACAAAAGUCACUCCUAAUAGGCUUUCACAUUUUGUUAGCAAAAAUACAUUUCAAUAGAGCACAGUGCCAAUGAGAUACAAACAAGACAGAAAAGGCCCUAACACGUUAUGACGGACUGCUCAGAAG